UGCAAUUUGGAUAACACAUGCACGAGUUAGGUUUUCAAAGAGCAUCAAAAUAGCACGAAGGAUGAGUUUCCCGGCCAACCGGGCUCCUACUAACAGGUCCGAAGAUAGUUGGUUUGUUCUAGCUUGUGGAAUGGAAUCACCCGGUCUUAUGUAUUAAAUGAGACCUAAGUUAUUUAUCUGCUUGGCUAUAUGUUCGUCGUUCGAACUACUCAAAUUUUAUGUUUUCUCACGUUUAGGACGAAAAUCUGGCAAAGGAUUCUAUGUGUACCCAGAUGGCAAGGGGAAGAAAACGGUAGGAGACUGUGAUUUAUAAAUUUGUAUGACCCUUUGCAUAAUGCGAGUACAAUCCAAAACAAUGAGUGACUGUAUGGCAUGGAGAACAGUGGGAUUUCCAAAACAAUGAAAACACAAUGAAUAUUUAUUUUUUACUAUUGUUCUAGAUAAACAAUGGGGCUAUGGAUAUUCUCAAAAAAUACACCGUGCCAAAGCGAGGCAG
Non-coding RNA from Paramuricea clavata, 496 nucleotides. The record is from the annotation of a GenBank genome assembly. Lineage: Eukaryota; Metazoa; Cnidaria; Anthozoa; Malacalcyonacea; Plexauridae.